GUAGGCCGGCUUGUCGCUUGCAUCCUUGUGAUGUAUGAGGAAAGUCCGGGCAACGCAGAGCAUCCCACUUCCUAACAGAAAGUUGUCCGCGAGGGCAAAGUAACGCAGAAGAAAAGAACCGCCACGGCCUCGUGCCGCGGUAAGGGUGAGAAGGUGGGGUAAGAGCCUACCGGCUCUGUGGUGACACAGAGGCCGUGCGUCUUGGGAGUUGUAAGGUCAUGUAAACCGGCGUUAUGAGGGUUGCUCGCCCAAGCCGGAGGGUGGACCGCUAAAGUGCGCAUGGCGACAUGCCACUCAGAUAAAUGACAGGCACCUCCCCUACAAGGGAGGCACAGAACCCGGCUUAUAGGCCAACUG
RNAcentral lists this RNase P RNA (357 nucleotides) under uncultured Bacteroides sp. RNAcentral describes it as "Bacterial RNase P class A". It matches the Rfam family "Bacterial RNase P class A". Rfam says of the family: Ribonuclease P (RNase P) is a ubiquitous endoribonuclease, found in archaea, bacteria and eukarya as well as chloroplasts and mitochondria. Lineage: Bacteria; Pseudomonadati; Bacteroidota; Bacteroidia; Bacteroidales; Bacteroidaceae. The record is from RNAcentral.